RNAcentral lists this ribosomal RNA (465 nucleotides) under uncultured bacterium. RNAcentral's name for it is "bacterial SSU rRNA". It matches the Rfam family "Bacterial small subunit ribosomal RNA", at positions 329 to 792 of the family's 1533-position model. The record is from RNAcentral.
CUCCAGACUCCUACGGGAGGCAGCAGUGAGGAAUAUUGGUCAAUGGGCUUACGCCUGAACCAGCCAAGUCGCGUGAGGGAAGACGGCCCUACGGGUUGUAAACCUCUUUUGUCGGGGAGCAAAGCGAACCACGUGUGGUUCAUUGAGAGUACCCGAAGAAAAAGCAUCGGCUAACUCCGUGCCAGCAGCCGCGGUAAUACGGAGGAUGCGAGCGUUAUCCGGAUUUAUUGGGUUUAAAGGGUGCGUAGGCGGGAUGCCAAGUCAGCGGUCAAAUACGGGGGCUCAACCUGCGUCCGCCGUUGAAACUGGCGUUCUUGAGUGGGCGAGAAGUACGCGGAAUGCGUGGUGUAGCGGUGAAAUGCAUAGAUAUCACGCAGAACUCCGAUUGCGAAGGCAGCAUACCGGCGUCCAACUGACGCUGAGGCACGAAGGCGUGGGUAUCGAACAGGAUUAGAUACCCUAGUA